UAAUACCUAAAAACGGCGAUAUAGUAUUUUGUAUACUCGAUGUGAACGGAAUAUGAAGCAUAUCACUUCGAACUCAUAAAAAGUUGGAGUUUAGAUAUCAUUCUAAGAGUUA
Aricia agestis (brown argus) is the source of this 112-nucleotide long non-coding RNA. RefSeq lists it as uncharacterized. The record is from RefSeq and is a predicted model, not a curated record. The transcript has 3 exons. NCBI's taxonomy places the organism in Eukaryota, Metazoa, Arthropoda, Insecta, Lepidoptera, Lycaenidae.